This 274-nucleotide ribosomal RNA is filed under the name uncultured bacterium. Its description in RNAcentral is "partial 16S ribosomal RNA". It matches the Rfam family "Bacterial small subunit ribosomal RNA", at positions 523 to 796 of the family's 1533-position model. The record is from RNAcentral.
ACACGGGGGGCGCAAGCGUUAUUCGGAAUUAUUGGGCGUAAAGGGCGCGUAGGCGGUCUUGUCGGUCAGAUGUGAAAGCCCAGGGCUCAACCCUGGGCGUGCAUUUGAAACAGCAAGACUUGAGUACGGGAGAGGAAAGCGGAAUUCCUGGUGUAGAGGUGAAAUUCGUAGAUAUCAGGAGGAACACCGAUGGCGAAGGCAGCUUUCUGGACCGAUACUGACGCUGAGGCGCGAAGGCGUGGGUAGCGAACAGGAUUAGAAACCCCGGUAGUCC